GACUGGUGAUGACCCUGUUGAGUAUCUUAGAAUGGUCAAGAUGAUAACUGAUGAGUUGGGAGCCAGUGAGAGUAGAGCCAUUCAGAUGGCAGGGAGCACAUUGAAUUGUGCGCAGGCAAGGGAAUGGUUCACCCAGUAUGUGGACCCGAGGGUAGAAAGCUUAUCCUGGGAGCAGUUUACUACAGAGUUUGCAGGAUGGGCUUGGUCAGAUAGCUUAAGGGAGCGUAAAGAGAGUGCAUGUGAGCAGCCAGGGCAGACAGAAAACAUGAGU
This 271-nucleotide long non-coding RNA is filed under the name Manihot esculenta (cassava). RNAcentral describes it as "long non-coding RNA (MESC_LNC012481)". The record is from RNAcentral. Lineage: Eukaryota; Viridiplantae; Streptophyta; Magnoliopsida; Malpighiales; Euphorbiaceae.